GGGCGGUUAGCUCAGCCGGUUAGAGCGCGUGGUCGACAUCCACGAGGUCAGAGGUUCAAGUCCUCUACCGCCCA
RNAcentral lists this transfer RNA (74 nucleotides) under Candidatus Omnitrophota bacterium. RNAcentral's name for it is "Candidatus Omnitrophica bacterium (groundwater metagenome) tRNA-Val". It matches the Rfam family "tRNA". From Rfam's summary of the family: Transfer RNA (tRNA) molecules are approximately 80 nucleotides in length. Their secondary structure includes four short double-helical elements and three loops (D, anti-codon, and T loops). Lineage: Bacteria; Pseudomonadati; Candidatus Omnitrophota. The record is from RNAcentral.